This is a long non-coding RNA of Perognathus longimembris pacificus (Pacific pocket mouse), 2445 nucleotides long. RefSeq lists it as uncharacterized. The transcript has 3 exons. NCBI's taxonomy places the organism in Eukaryota, Metazoa, Chordata, Mammalia, Rodentia, Heteromyidae. The record is from RefSeq and is a predicted model, not a curated record.
CACUCUCUUGACCAGCCUUUCAGGUAUACAAUUUUUAAAAAACAAUUUUUUCUGUUUCUCUUUGUCUUACUUUUUCACCCAUAAAUUUAGGAAUGUCUUUACAGCUUCGGGUAAGCCAACCAGGGUCUUCUUAUCUUACAGGCCCACAGAUCUACAGGGAAAGGGGCUCUAGAAGGUUGUAGGUCUUUUUUCUUUUUCCCCAUAAGAUAGUAGCUUACUUAGUCCUUAUUUUGCUUGGCAACAUGAAUAAACUUUCACUUUCUUUUCUCCAGAAACUCUGCUCUCAUUAUUUGUGAGCUGGCAUUGAGUUCAGGAGAACAAAUUUCCCGUAUUGCAUCAGGUUAUGAUGCAGCAUGAGUGCCUCACCAGAUAAGGUUGCCAGGCCAGUUAUUACCCCCGAGACUGAAAGCUCAGUAAGUAGCUCUUCUUUAUGAAGAAAUUCAUCUCAGGUAAUUUGUUAUAGCUAUACAAAACAGAUAAAGGUGGGUGGUAACAGCUUAAUUGAAAGAACAAUUAAAGAGAAAAGAACUGGAACCCAAUGCAAUAGUUUGCUUUAUGGAGGCAAAGGUCUACAGCAUGGAAUACUGAAAUGAAGGACCCAGAUCUCCAAAGAUGGAUAGAAUACUGAGACAGUCUUCUGCUUAGCAACUUAAAAGAUAGACAGAUUCUACCUUGCCUAUAACUCAAACUCUGCCCACCCAUCUCUACAACUACAAUUCUUUCAGCUCUCGUUCCUCUGACAGCAUAGAAAAGCUAUCCAGCUGCAGUGUGUAUGGGGGGUAAUCUGUCCAUGUUUUCCUGCUUCUCCAGGGCACUGGCAAGUGUACUUACUGUACAUUGACCAGGGCUCACUAGCUAUAACCCAAUAGUGUGGAGUAUCUGUGUGUGCGUGCAGAAGCUGGAAAUGUAAGGCAGCACAUAAAAAAGGGAAGAAGGAAGAGAAGAUGUGGGGUGCCUGGGGUAGGGUGAGAAAGGGUCAAGAGGUCUGACAGAAUAAAAGUUGCAUGAGCACAGAGGUGUGGCUCUAUGGUGAAGCACCAUACAUGAGACAAGCUUCCUGGGCAGUCUCCAGGGAACUAUACCUGCUUAGGGACCUUUUAGAUGUACUGUGGCCUUAGUGCAGCCUGGAGCACUGACAGAUCUGUGAGUAGAGGAAGAGGAAGUAAUCCCUUGUAGCUUUAGAUAGAAUGCAGUUUGACCUGCUCAUUUAUUUCCAACGUUUAGUUUUGGUUCAAGAUUGCCUGCCCUUGUGCCCUGUUUCUGGAAAGGACAAAGGAAGCUCUCUACCAUAACUUCAUUUCUUACCUUUCAGAUCUUCAGAUUUCCACAGUCUGUAUGAUCUCCAGGAUAGACACUUGGAAAGGAGGAGAGAGGAUGCCAGUAGAAAGACAGGUGUGGAGGGGUGGGGGAGGGUUGCAGAGAAAUAGGUAGAAAAGUCUGGUCCAAGUGUCCACAAGAACACAGCUGGGUAAAGGAUGUGUGGAAGGCUAGGGACCUCUGUACACCAGCUUUAUAAUCACAAUAAUGUUUUUAAAGGUUGGGGAGAGAGGUCUAAACUGUUAGUGGUGGUGGCCAGAAAAGACAAUUUUUAAGGUUCAGCUAGCCUAGAGGAAGAUAAAAGAGCCUUUCCAUCUCAUUGUUAGAAAUGAGCCCAAAUACUAUCAUCUCUAAGCUCUGAUCAUCUCAUUUCCCUCCCCACAAUGCCCUUCUCCCAGAUCUUCCUUCCCAGGUCCACACCAGCUUCAUUUCUACUUUUUCUGUGCUCCCAUAAUGCCUAUCACUUUAUCUGCAAGUGCACUUACCACUUAUUUUAUAAUUAUCUAUAUAUGUGGCCGCAUCUGUCAUGAAUCUGGGAGCCAUAACCAAGUCUCAUUCACUAUGUAGUCCCCAGGUCUGUCCCUGACCUGGCACAUGUUAGUGCCUAAGUUAGUGUAACUGUCCAUUGUGACACUUGGACAUCUUCAAAUUCACACAAACAGCUAUGUGACACUGAGGGCAAGGGAUCAUUUUGCUGCAUGAGGGUAAUGGGAGGUAGGGAGAGGAAGAUAGAAAAAUAUUUUUUUAAAAAAGAAUGAACAUUAAACAGCUAAACUAUGAAUAUAAUUUCUGAUGGAUCAAAGUUUCCUACUGCAGAAAUGGACAAAGUAGAGAGAAGAAACUGAAGCAGGUAAAGAUAAAAGAAUUCUUUUCCUGCUGAAUACCUGAAACCCCAAACAUACAACAACAAGAAAACCAAGAAUGAAGGUAAGGCAUUGAGUGUAAAACCACAAACAGAGAGACAAGAAGACAUUACCAAAGAUAAUAAUGCAGAAAAGCAUAGGCAGCAAGAGCGACCCUACCCUAGAAUGAGCAAUAUUUCCCUGGAUCAAUAUUUGAUUGUUUCCAUUUUGGAAAGCCAUCUUAAUUUUAAAUAAGAUUUCCACUUUCUUCCUAACAUGUGGCCUC